UUUUUGUGUUGGAACUGACACAUAAUGUGUAAAUAUUAUGCUUAACUGCUUACACAAUGAAUGUGUAAAACACGUUAACCAGUAUACAAUAAAAUGAAAUGCAUAAUUUUUGUAGUUUUAAUGGCGUGCACUGACACUGAUUAUCCUGUACUUUUGUUUGUUAUAAAAACCAAAUAUCAUAUAUAACACAUUCCUUUAUCAAGUAUAAGAUGUUUGUGCAACAGGAAAUAUACAAGCAAGUUCGGUCAAAAGCACAAAUAAGUCUGCACUUCACCACAAAGAUAAAUAAAAAAUAUAAAGUUUUACAAUGCAACUUUGUCCUUAGUCAAAACGAUUUGCCCAGGAACAGAUAAUAUAUUUAUGAGACCAAAGAUUGUCCAUAAGACAGUACCGAAAAUAAAAUAUAUAUAACACUGUUAACCACUACUAACACACAGUGUUGGGGCUAGUUACUUAAAAAAGUAAUAUAUUACGUAUUACAUAUUACUCUCAAAAAUAGUAAUGUCUUACUUUACUUUAUUACUCCCUGGAGAAAGUAACUAGUUAUAUUACUAGUUAUAUUACUAGUUACAUUUUUUUUCUGGACAAGAAUGUUUAUUUGGGCAAGCCACGGCCAAGAAAAUGCUGGCUUCCUUACCCACUACUGGACGUGGGGCACAGCGUUUGGAGAAACAUUAAAGAGUGUGCACUUCACCGUCAAGUUAUUUUCCUUCCGUUGAACAUAAUAAAAUAUGACUGAAUCUCCACCCGUCGAAACCAGCUUUCUGUUGCUGGGAACCUUCCCCAGAAAAUGCUUGCCGUUGUUGAUGCUUCCAUUUACACGAUCUGUCUUUGAGUGUGCCGCUGCCGCUCUGUCCUGCUGGCUGCCGGGUGUCGACCAAUCGGUGAUGGUAAAUGAUACCUCGUGCCAAACUUAGACCAAUCACUGUUCCAUUCACGCCCUCCUCCCCUUCCCUUUUGUUCUCUGUGUUUUGUGCCUUGUGUGAUGAAGGUGCUACUGGCGAAUGUAACUUAAGUAACUAGCUCGGGAAAACUGUAAUAAUAUUACCAUUUUCAGACGGGUAAUGCCUUACACUACUAGUUACUGAAAAAAGUAAUAUUAUUACAGUAACUAGUUACUUUGUAACUAGUUACACCCAACACUGCUAACACAUAACACCCAGCGGCCAGCGGUGAUUUUCAGAAGGACCUGCCGAGAUCAAGCUGCGUUGGGCGGGGUACAUGAGCGCUAAGUACCCCUUGGUUGUCUGGAUCAGAACUCCGAAAAAGUCGGGGCAGAUUUUUUAAUAAACGCUCUCUUUAUAAACCGACCGCAAAUUUCAACUUUUUUUACAUACAUUCUCGCCUAAAAAGCUUUUGAACAUACACUUUGUGACACAAUAAGAGUAAUAUUUCAAACAUUAUGCAGGCGUUCUCUUCCAUUGGUGGCUGUCGUAAGUUCACACGAAUCUGCUGAUGACGUUUCACAUGGACAGACAACUACACAUUAUUGUAUUUUUAAUUGUAUUUUUUGCGUGUGUUAUUUUUAUUUCAUUAUUAUGAAAAUCAUGAUCAUUAAUAUUGAGCCUUGGCUGGCAGUCUGUUUUGAAUUUGUUUUAUUGAAAAAACAAACACACAACGCAUAUUGUGUUGCGCCUGCGCAGUGACGUUCUUUUCCAACCGCCUUUCCAGUCAAGAGGUCAAGAAUGUUCCUGUCUGCAUCAGGUAAGAAAUUAAAUUAAAAAUUACAGUUAUAAUAUGAUAUCUAUUUUUCAUAUAGUGUAAGAAACUUUCGUAUUAAUUGCGCAGGAGACUGUUGAUUUAAACUUUAUUAUGGUAACGUUAAAUGCUCGCUCGUUUUGCAAAGUUACGUUUGGAGAUUCACGUUAACAGUCAUUGUUUAAUGAAAGGCACAUUGGACUACGGGUUAGUAUGUGUGACACUUGCAGCACUUUAACGUAAAUCUUAAACACCGUGUCCUAAAUAGACGUGACACGCGGUAACGGGUUUCUUUUCAGUUUAUGUCCUUACGUUAUAGGACGGGUCAUUAUAAAUUAUGCCUUUCGAUUAUCGCAACGCCUCGUCGCGUUUGGUUAAGCACAUGGUGGAACAGUAUGCACAUCACUGUACCUAACGUACUGUACACUUGUGAGCGGCAUGACGAGACAAAAGACGGUAAAACUCAUUAUUAAUCGGUGAUGCUGUACAUUCUGGAAGAUGCACAGCCACAUUUGAUAAUACUGUUUUUUAUUUUCGUGUCGCGCCGCUCGCGUUCAAUAUAAAGUUAGACAAGACGCAAUUAAUUACUGGGAGAGUAGUGGUCUAAUGGUAAGAGUCGAACUUCAUGAACCUUUCACUGCUUGCAGUAAGGCUAAAGUGCUACGUGAAUAAGAUGGGUGUAACGUUAGUUUUGUGCUACGAGCUGUAAAGUGUUUUUGCACUAUUGAGUUAUAAAUACUGCCCAGUAAUACUUAACUAGAUGUAAAUCACAAUUCUUGUGUCAAUGUUUGUUUGUAAUCUUUUUCAGCUAUCCAUCUGAAAAAGAAAAGCUGGCACUCUCAAAGGAGAUUGUGUUGUUGGUUUAUGGUCUCAUUUGGUCAAAAAGAGGGACAUGGUCCGAGCUUUUUUUUUUUUGAUGGGCCAUCACACAGUGGAUUUAUAAAAAUGAGAUUACAGAACAUCAGACGGUAGCUUCAAUGGAGUUGAAGUGGGAGGACAUCAUCAAUAAAGAAUGCCAUUGGCCAAACCUUCAGUCAUCAAAGAAGAUGGAUACAGGGGGACAUCAAGUUUUCCAGACUUACCGAUGGGAAAGAAGAAAUGGGAAUGUGACAAUUAUUGAGAAACUCAGGGAAAAAGCAUCUUUAGAGAAGAAAAUGGACAUCAGACAUUUAUUUAAGAAAGCUGACAGUCAAC
Molecule: non-coding RNA, 2892 nt
Organism: Paramisgurnus dabryanus
Lineage: Eukaryota; Metazoa; Chordata; Actinopteri; Cypriniformes; Cobitidae
Source: RefSeq, a predicted model, not a curated record